This 11006-nucleotide long non-coding RNA is filed under the name Triticum aestivum (bread wheat). Its description in RNAcentral is "long non-coding RNA (TAES_LNC021988)". Lineage: Eukaryota; Viridiplantae; Streptophyta; Magnoliopsida; Poales; Poaceae. The record is from RNAcentral.
AAACAGCUCACCGGGCUUAAUGAAGUAGCACUCGCUUGAUCACCUCACCAACUGCAGCUCUUCUCCUUUUCCUUCCUUAUGGAUGCUCCAGCUUCACUCUUCUUCGUGUGUGCCCCAUUGCUUCUCCUCAUCGCCAUGCUCUGACUCCACCAGGAUCCCAAGGAAUGUCACCUCAAACCUGGUCAGCAUGUAGUAAACAGUGCAGUAGCAAAAGCCUGAAAUAGGACUCACACAAACAACUAUAAGUGAUACGGUCGAUGCCCUCCAAGUCAUCAAUGGUAUAUCCAAUUAUAUAAGCAUAACUAUAAAGCACAUGUUUAGGAUGGCAGAAAUCAGCAUGGUCAAUACUCACACGAGGAUGACAUUUAUCAUUAAGCUCAAGACUAGCAUGGAAAUGAUGUGUUUCAUUAAGCAUAGGACUAGCACGAGGAAAGUAACUAUGAUCAUCGCAAAUGAGAGUAAUGCCACUAACAGGGUAUAUAUCAUCAUAUCCAAGCAAAUGAGUUUUCAAAUCAAUCUUAAGUGAUGGUAUCAUGUAAUGCAAGGUGGUAGCAAAGAAAUCACAAGGCAUCAUGUCAUCAAGAGGAUUGAGUAAACCUGACACAUCACGCUCUGGUAUGACAAUAGGCAAAUGAAUCUCAUGUUCUUCAUCUUCAUCUACAGCAGCUUCUUGUACUUCUUCAGGAGUAAUAGAUGAUGAGUCUUCAACUUGAUCACUUGGGAAUUGCAGCUCUUGACCAUCUUGUUCCUUGUCUUCUAGUUCAUCUUCUUCAAUCUGAGGUAUCUCUUGCUCAAGGCACUUGCUAUCUUGCUCAACGAAAUGUGAAGGUGCUGGAACCUCACAUGUAACCAUGGAUAUCUCAGCCACACUCAACUCAAGUUGUGAAGAAAUAGUGCUGCCAGCGUUGAUGUUCUUCUCAAUCUUCCUUACUUCUUCCACUAGCUCUUUUCCACUCUUGAUCUUCUUCAUUUCAUCUAGUAUAACCUUCCUAAUAGGAUCAUCCUCGGCACUCCAACUAAACUCGAGACUAAGCAAUGUGAUCUUUCUAUAUCAUCAAAUUCAUCUUGUGUGGGCACUUGCACAUGAGAUUGCUCGAAAGGUGCUGGAGUUGUUGGUUGACCAAAUGGAGGACCAUUUAACUCCAUUGGACACAUCUCCUGGUAUUGAGGUAUAUGAGUAGGAGGUGAAUAAAUCUAUUGUGGAGCAUAGUUGUGGUUCUCCUCAUUGUACCUGAAUCCCUGCAUUGGAUAACUAGAGGCAAACGAUGAGAUCUCAGGGUUAUUGCUCCUAUAUGACAUAUUCUGGUUUUUAGACCACCCAUGUGUGUAAUUGUUUUGGUAUGAGUUAGGCAGUGGGGCGAAGCUCAUGCCAUAACAAUCGGGAGGAUGGGAGUAACCACACUGACAUUCAGCGGGCGAAUGGCCCUGAAAUCCACAAAUAUGGCAGGUAGGAGCAACAUAAGGAUGGCCUCUGGAAUUAGGAUUGUAAGAACUAGGCCUAUCCUCAAAAACUCCUUCUUGCUGUCGAGCUAAAUCAUCUAAUCGAUGGGAAAUCUUACCUAUCAGUUCUUAAACACUUUCCGUGUUGUUUGUAGUGUUGCUCGCAUAAGCCUGAUGAUCUGAAUAGUAAGCCAUAACCGAGAGGAUAAUCCAACCUGCAAAAAGGAAAAGAAGACAAAAAGAUACUAACUAGAACAGGGGUUAGUGGCUAGAGAUAUAUCACAAAUAUAUAAAGCACAAAAAGGAAACAAGCUAAACCUAGUCUAAAGCCUAGCACAAUCGCUCGAUGCUAGUCCCCGGCAACGGUGCCAAAAUGAUCAGUUGAAAGUACAGUGGGGUUUUUACGCCCAAACUGCGAGUGUCGUGUUCUCCUCAGGGACUAGGCGACGACGACUAUGCUCGACUAAAGCUAGGUGACAGAAUACAAAUGAUGAUUGCAAGGAAAUAAACCUAAACUAAACAUGGUAGUUCCUAAAGAUCAUCGCCAAAGAAAAUGCAAAAUAAGCAAAGAGAUAUUCAGAUUUUCUAUACUCUCUUUUUGGCAAUUUCCAUAUUACUCAAAGAAUUUAAUGCUAACACAAGAAAACAUACGGCUAGGAAAUUAAAAAGACAAGAACAUAUAUAUAACUAUCUAACAUGAACAGUGGGAAGAAACAAGAACUUGAGCUAAUACAUGGACUACAAAACUGAAUAUAUUUCUGCAGAAAAGGGAAGACACUGUGACGACACAUACAUGAACUGGAAUUACGUAAAUUCAGUGCAAGUGACAAGCAUACAUGUACCACACGGUUGACAAAUAUAACAUUCACGAACUUAUUUUAUAUAGAUGCAUGAACUAGUCAGAUCCCAGCAAACAGCUGUUUACAUGUACUCUUCAAAUCUGAACCUUACAAGUCUUGAACAUCUCUCAAUACUAUAGAAUUUCAGAGAGAGAGAGAGAGAGAAGGCAACAGCAGGAGGUUGAGAGAGAAGAAGCAGUAGCAGGGGGCGUUGAGAGGAGGGAGAAGGAGCAGCGGGGCAAAGGAAGAUGGAGUAGCAGCAACGACUUGGAGUUUGGAGAUGGAGAAGGAGCAGAACAACAGCGUGGUAGGGGAAAGUAGAAGAGCAGCAGCAAUAGGGAUUCAGAGAGGAGGCGAGCUUGGAGAAGGAUAGCAGCAGGGAGAGUUGUAGAUGAGCAGCAGCAGUAGCGCGGGGGAGAAGGAGCAGCAGACAGGGAUUCAGAGAAGCGAGGAAGAAGGGAAGAAGAAGCAGCGGCGGUGUGUCUGGCCGGGCACGCCAGCUGGAGGGAGAGGUCGCGCGAGGUGGGCACUGGUGGUUGGCGCUGUGAUGGAUGGAUGAUGGUGUGGGUGGUGGAUGGCGCGGGUGAUGGUGGAGCAACGAGGUCGCCGAAGCGCGUCGCCACGAUGGCCUGGCCGCGGCGGCGGCCGGAGGUGGGAGAAGAAGUGGUGAGGGGGAGAGAGAUGGAGAUGCCAGCUCCCUUUGGGAAUGGAGGCUGCUAGGGAUUUUGAUCCCCUCCGAUCAGAUCUGAAUGUUUUCACUUUGGCCCUCCUCCUUCCUUCUUUUGGCACAAGAUGUUCCCUCCACUUCUUAAGCUAGCCCCCCUAAGCUUUAAUCUUCUUCAAGCUUGAGUCCCUCUUUCUUCUCUUCUUGCCCGUGAUCUUGUUCCUCAAUUCUUUCUAGACAGGAACUUGUAGAUUAUAGUGCCUUGUCGCACUUUUCUGCAAAAGAAACACAAUGACUAGUAAAUGAUUCAUUAUAUGAUUUCCAUGCAAAUAUUCAAUAUUUCACAUCAAGAAUUAAUGGUCAUAUCUCAAUAAACCGCAUAUUUGAGUGCCAAAAGAUGUAUAUGAAAUGUGCUUAUCAAGUUCCCCCACACUUAAAUCUUUGCUUGUCCUCAAGCAAAGGCAUAUGACAAAAGCAAGAACAUGAACAGUGAACUGACUAGAGAAUGUCAAGUGAAGUAGAUCUCUAAACAAUGCAUGCUUUGGACUUGGCUAGUGAAAAUUAAUGGUUAAGAGUGCUACAUAUCAAUAGGACACUAGUAAACUCGACCAUUUUAAACUUUUGCAAUGAUAAACGAAGAUUAGCAAGUUCAAAUGCUGAUUGUGCCAAAGGGUUCCUAAAGAGAGCAUGAUCCCAAAAAAAAACUUAUUACCCGGAACAUAACAUUAUGGUAGAAGCACUUAUUGAAUUUGAAGGAAGUAAUGGUAAUAUUUUAUUGAUCUCACCAAUGGAACAUACCACCGAUCCCAAGAACAUGGUAUACACCCGGCUUGGCCAAUUAUUAGUUUUUUUUAGUUUGUCUCCCCAAAGGAACAUACCACCGAUCCCGAGAACAUGGUGUACACCUGGUUCGACAAUUACAUUUCUAUAAUUAUUAAUUACUGCCCAAGCUAACCUGAUUUCACAUGCCACCGAUCCCGGGAACAUGACAUGCUACUGUAGGUAGCCAGACUUAUUUAUUCAUUAUUACUUAUCUUAAAUGAACAACACAUAAGAACAAAAACAGGAAUCAUCACUUCUCCAUGUCUGGUUCACAUGCUACCGAUCCAGGGAACAUAGCAUGCUAAUCCAUAGUGGUUAGGUGAUUGCUCUCAAUGGGAAGACACUUGGCACAAAUUCAGCAUCUAAACAUGGUGAUCUAGGUGUAUCAUAGUAAAUGCAGAAAAUGACGAAGUUUUCUAGUGUACUAGGGAUUUGAGCACUCAAAACUAGUAGUUCUCACUAAUUUUAGCAAAGCAUGCAUGGUGUAGAUCACUAGUUUACAAGGCAUCCAAAAAUCAAGUUCACAAAUUCACAUCAAGCACAAUGCCAAAGGUGAGAUUCAGCUUGACAACAAGUAAUAACUGGCUCAAGCAACCCAACUAGCAAUUGAAUUCAGCAUGUAUUUAUGAUAUUCAGAAUGGGUCAUGAAACAGCUCACCGGGCUUAAUGAAGUAGCACUCGCUUGAUCACCUCACCAACUGCAGCUCUUCUCCUUUUCCUUCCUUAUGGAUGCUCCAGCUUCACUCUUCUUCGUGUGUGCCCCAUUGCUUCUCCUCAUCGCCAUGCUCUGACUCCACCAGGAUCCCAAGGAAUGUCACCUCAAACCUGGUCAGCAUGUAGUAAACAGUGCAGUAGCAAAAGCCUGAAAUAGGACUCACACAAACAACUAUAAGUGAUACGGUCGAUGCCCUCCAAGUCAUCAAUGGUAUAUCCAAUUAUAUAAGCAUAACUAUAAAGCACAUGUUUAGGAUGGCAGAAAUCAGCAUGGUCAAUACUCACACGAGGAUGACAUUUAUCAUUAAGCUCAAGACUAGCAUGGAAAUGAUGUGUUUCAUUAAGCAUAGGACUAGCACGAGGAAAGUAACUAUGAUCAUCGCAAAUGAGAGUAAUGCCACUAACAGGGUAUAUAUCAUCAUAUCCAAGCAAAUGAGUUUUCAAAUCAAUCUUAAGUGAUGGUAUCAUGUAAUGCAAGGUGGUAGCAAAGAAAUCACAAGGCAUCAUGUCAUCAAGAGGAUUGAGUAAACCUGACACAUCACGCUCUGGUAUGACAAUAGGCAAAUGAAUCUCAUGUUCUUCAUCUUCAUCUACAGCAGCUUCUUGUACUUCUUCAGGAGUAAUAGAUGAUGAGUCUUCAACUUGAUCACUUGGGAAUUGCAGCUCUUGACCAUCUUGUUCCUUGUCUUCUAGUUCAUCUUCUUCAAUCUGAGGUAUCUCUUGCUCAAGGCACUUGCUAUCUUGCUCAACGAAAUGUGAAGGUGCUGGAACCUCACAUGUAACCAUGGAUAUCUCAGCCACACUCAACUCAAGUUGUGAAGAAAUAGUGCUGCCAGCGUUGAUGUUCUUCUCAAUCUUCCUUACUUCUUCCACUAGCUCUUUUCCACUCUUGAUCUUCUUCAUUUCAUCUAGUAUAACCUUCCUAAUAGGAUCAUCCUCGGCACUCCAACUAAACUCGAGACUAAGCAAUGUGAUCUUUCUAUAUCAUCAAAUUCAUCUUGUGUGGGCACUUGCACAUGAGAUUGCUCGAAAGGUGCUGGAGUUGUUGGUUGACCAAAUGGAGGACCAUUUAACUCCAUUGGACACAUCUCCUGGUAUUGAGGUAUAUGAGUAGGAGGUGAAUAAAUCUAUUGUGGAGCAUAGUUGUGGUUCUCCUCAUUGUACCUGAAUCCCUGCAUUGGAUAACUAGAGGCAAACGAUGAGAUCUCAGGGUUAUUGCUCCUAUAUGACAUAUUCUGGUUUUUAGGCCACCCAUGUGUGUAAUUGUUUUGGUAUGAGUUAGGCAGUGGGGCGAAGCUCAUGCCAUAACAAUCGGGAGGAUGGGAGUAACCACACUGACAUUCAGCGGGCGAAUGGCCCUGAAAUCCACAAAUAUGGCAGGUAGGAGCAACAUAAGGAUGGCCUCUGGAAUUAGGAUCGUAAGAACUAGGCCUAUCCUCAAAAACUCCUUCUCGCUGUCGAGCUAAAUCAUCUAAUCGAUGGGAAAUCUUACCUAUCAGUUCUUAAACACUUUCCGUGUUGUUUGUAGUGUUGCUCGCAUAAGCCUGAUGAUCUGAAUAGUAAGCCAUAACCGAGAGGAUAAUCCAACCUGCAAAAAGGAAAAGAAGACAAAAAGAUACUAACUAGAACAGGGGUUAGUGGCUAGAGAUAUAUCACAAAUAUAUAAAGCACAAAAAGGAAACAAGCUAAACCUAGUCUAAAGCCUAGCACAAUCGCUCGAUGCUAGUCCCCGGCAACGGUGCCAAAAUGAUCAGUUGAAAGUACAGUGGGGUUUUUACGCCCAAACUGCGAGUGUCGUGUUCUCCUCAGGGACUAGGCGACAAUGACUAUGCUCGACUAAAGCUAGGUGACAGAAUACAAAUGAUGAUUGCAAGGAAAUAAACCUAAACUAAACAUGGUAGUUCCUAAAGAUCAUCGCCAAAGAAAAUGCAAAAUAAGCAAAGAGAUAUUCAGAUUUUCUAUACUCUCUUUUUGGCAAUUUCCAUAUUACUCAAAGAAUUUAAUGCUAACACAAGAAAACAUACGGCUAGGAAAUUAAAAAGACAAGAACAUAUAUAUAACUAUCUAACAUGAACAGUGGGAAGAAACAAGAACUUGAGCUAAUACAUGGACUACAAAACUGAAUAUAUUUCUGCAGAAAAGGGAAGACACUGUGACGACACAUACAUGAACUGGAAUUACGUAAAUUCAGUGCAAGUGACAAGCAUACAUGUACCACACGGUUGACAAAUAUAACAUUCACGAACUUAUUUUAUAUAGAUGCAUGAACUAGUCAGAUCCCAGAAAACAAACACUAUAUUAUACAAGUACUAAACAGAGCAAACAGCUGUUUACAUGUACUCUUCAAAUCUGAACCUUACAAGUCUUGAACAUCUCUCAAUACUAUAGAAUUUCAGAGAGAGAGAGAGAGAAGGCAACAGCAGGAGGUUGAGAGAGAAGAAGCAGUAGCAGGGGGCGUUGAGAGGAGGGAGAAGGAGCAGCGGGGCAAAGGAAGAUGGAGUAGCAGCAACGACUUGGAGUUUGGAGAUGGAGAAGGAGCAGAACAACAGCGUGGUAGGGGAAAGUAGAAGAGCAGCAGCAAUAGGGAUUCAGAGAGGAGGCGAGCUUGGAGAAGGAUAGCAGCAGGGAGAGUUGUAGAUGAGCAGCAGCAGUAGCGCGGGGGAGAAGGAGCAGCAGACAGGGAUUCAGAGAAGCGAGGAAGAAGGGAAGAAGAAGCAGCGGCGGUGUGUCUGGCCGGGCACGCCAGCUGGAGGGAGAGGUCGCGCGAGGUGGGCACUGGUGGUUGGCGCUGUGAUGGAUGGAUGAUGGUGUGGGUGGUGGAUGGCGCGGGUGAUGGUGGAGCAACGAGGUCGCCGAAGCGCGUCGCCACGAUGGCCUGGCCGCGGCGGCGGCCGGAGGUGGGAGAAGAAGUGGUGAGGGGGAGAGAGAUGGAGAUGCCAGCUCCCUUUGGGAAUGGAGGCUGCUAGGGAUUUUGAUCCCCUCCGAUCAGAUCUGAAUGUUUUCACUUUGGCCCUCCUCCUUCCUUCUUUUGGCACAAGAUGAUCCCUCCACUUCUUAAGCUAGCCCCCCUAAGCUUUAAUCUUCUUCAAGCUUGAGUCCCUCUUUCUUCUCUUCUUGCCCGUGAUCUUGUUCCUCAAUUCUUUCUAGACAGGAACUUGUAGAUUAUAGUGCCUUGUCGCACUUUUCUGCAAAAGAAACACAAUGACUAGUAAAUGAUUCAUUAUAUGAUUUCCAUGCAAAUAUUCAAUAUUUCACAUCAAGAAUUAAUGGUCAUAUCUCAAUAAACCGCAUAUUUGAGUGCCAAAAGAUGUAUAUGAAAUGUGCUUAUCAAGUUCCCCCACACUUAAAUCUUUGCUUGUCCUCAAGCAAAGGCAUAUGACAAAAGCAAGAACAUGAACAGUGAACUGACUAGAGAAUGUCAAGUGAAGUAGAUCUCUAAACAAUGCAUGCUUUGGACUUGGCUAGUGAAAAUUAACGGUUAAGAGUGCUACAUAUCAAUAGGACACUAGUAAACUCGACCAUUUUAAACUUUUGCAAUGAUAAACGAAGAUUAGCAAGUUCAAAUGCUGAUUGUGCCAAAGGGUUCCUAAAGAGAGCAUGAUCCCAAAAAAAACUUAUUACCCGGAACAUAACAUUAUGGUAGAAGCACUUAUUGAAUUUGAAGGAAGUAAUGGUAAUAUUUUAUUGAUCUCACCAAUGGAACAUACCACCGAUCCCGAGAACAUGGUAUACACCCGGCUUGGCCAAUUAUUAGUUUUUUUUAGUUUGUCUCCCCAAAGGAACAUACCACCGAUCCCGAGAACAUGGUAUACACCUGGUUCGACAAUUACAUUUCUAUAAUUAUUAAUUACUGCCCAAGCUAACCUGAUUUCACAUGCCACCGAUCCCGGGAACAUGACAUGCUACUGUAGGUAGCCAGACUUAUUUAUUCAUUAUUACUUAUCUUAAAUGAACAACACAUAAGAACAAAAACAGGAAUCAUCACUUCUCCAUGUCUGGUUCACAUGCUACCGAUCCAGGGAACAUAGCAUGCUAAUCCAUAGUGGUUAGGUGAUUGCUCUCAAUGGGAAGACACUUGGCACAAAUUCAGCAUCUAAACAUGGUGAUCUAGGUGUAUCAUAGUAAAUGCAGAAAAUGACGAAGUUUUCUAGUGUACUAGGGAUUUGAGCACUCAAAACUAGUAGUUCUCACUAAUUUUAGCAAAGCAUGCAUGGUGUAGAUCACUAGUUUACAAGGCAUCCAAAAAUCAAGUUCACAAAUUCACAUCAAGCACAAUGCCAAAGGUGAGAUUCAGCUUGACAACAAGUAAUAACUGGCUCAAGCAACCCAACUAGCAAUUGAAUUCAGCAUGUAUUUAUGAUAUUCAGAAUGGGUCAUGAAACAGCUCACCGGGCUUAAUGAAGUAGCACUCGCUUGAUCACCUCACCAACUGCAGCUCUUCUCCUUUUCCUUCCUUAUGGAUGCUCCAGCUUCACUCUUCUUCGUGUGUGCCCCAUUGCUUCUCCUCAUCGCCAUGCUCUGACUCCACCAGGAUCCCAAGGAAUGUCACCUCAAACCUGGUCAGCAUGUAGUAAACAGUGCAGUAGCAAAAGCCUGAAAUAGGACUCACACAAACAACUAUAAGUGAUACGGUCGAUGCCCUCCAAGUCAUCAAUGGUAUAUCCAAUUAUAUAAGCAUAACUAUAAAGCACAUGUUUAGGAUGGCAGAAAUCAGCAUGGUCAAUACUCACACGAGGAUGACAUUUAUCAUUAAGCUCAAGACUAGCAUGGAAAUGAUGUGUUUCAUUAAGCAUAGGACUAGCACGAGGAAAGUAACUAUGAUCAUCGCAAAUGAGAGUAAUGCCACUAACAGGGUAUAUAUCAUCAUAUCCAAGCAAAUGAGUUUUCAAAUCAAUCUUAAGUGAUGGUAUCAUGUAAUGCAAGGUGGUAGCAAAGAAAUCACAAGGCAUCAUGUCAUCAAGAGGAUUGAGUAAACCUGACACAUCACGCUCUGGUAUGACAAUAGGCAAAUGAAUCUCAUGUUCUUCAUCUUCAUCUACAGCAGCUUCUUGUACUUCUUCAGAAGUAAUAGAUGAUGAGUCUUCAACUUGAUCACUUGGGAAUUGCAGCUCUUGACCAUCUUGUUCCUUGUCUUCUAGUUCAUCUUCUUCAAUCUGAGGUAUCUCUUGCUCAAGGCACUUGCUAUCUUCCUCAACGAAAUGUGAAGGUGCUGGAACCUCACAUGUAACCAUGGAUAUCUCAGCCACACUCAACUCAAGUUGUGAAGAAAUAGUGCUGCCAGCGUUGAUGUUCUUCUCAAUCUUCCUUACUUCUUCCACUAGCUCUUUUCCACUCUUGAUCUUCUUCAUUUCAUCUAGUAUAACCUUCCUAAUAGGAUCAUCCUCGGCACUCCAACUAAACUCGAGACUAAGCAAUGUGAUCUUUCUAUAUCAUCAAAUUCAUCUUGUGUGGGCACUUGCACAUGAGAUUGCUCGAAAGGUGCUGGAGUUGUUGGUUGACCAAAUGGAGGACCAUUUAACUCCAUUGGACACAUCUCCUGGUAUUGAGGUAUAUGAGUAGGAGGUGAAUAAAUCUAUUGUGGAGCAUAGUUGUGGUUCUCCUCAUUGUACCUGAAUCCCUGCAUUGGAUAACUAGAGGCAAACGAUGAGAUCUCAGGGUUAUUGCUCCUAUAUGACAUAUUCUGGUUUUUAGGCCACCCAUGUGUGUAAUUGUUUUGGUAUGAGUUAGGCAGUGGGGCGAAGCUCAUGCCAUAACAAUCGGGAGGAUGGGAGUAACCACACUGACAUUCAGCGGGCGAAUGGCCCUGAAAUCCACAAAUAUGGCAGGUAGGAGCAACAUAAGGAUGGCCUCUGGAAUUAGGAUCGUAAGAACUAGGCCUAUCCUCAAAAACUCCUUCUCGCUGUCGAGCUAAAUCAUCUAAUCGAUGGGAAAUCUUACCUAUCAGUUCUUAAACACUUUCCGUGUUGUUUGUAGUGUUGCUCGCAUAAGCCUGAUGAUCUGAAUAGUAAGCCAUAACCGAGAGGAUAAUCCAACCUGCAAAAAGGAAAAGAAGACAAAAAGAUACUAACUAGAACAGGGGUUAGUGGCUAGAGAUAUAUCACAAAUAUAUAAAGCACAAAAAGGAAACAAGCUAAACCUAGUCUAAAGCCUAGCACAAUCGCUCGACGCUAGUCCCCGGCAACGGCGCCAAAAUGAUCAAUUGAAAGUACAGUGGGGUUUUUACGCCCAAACUGCGAGUGUCGUGUUCUCCUCAGGGACUAGGCGACGACGACUAUGCUCGACUAAAGCUAGGUGACAGAAUACAAAUGAUGAUUGCAAGGAAAUAAACCUAAACUAAACAUGGUAGUUCCUGAAGAUCAUCGCCAAAGAAAAUGCAAAAUAAGCAAAGAGAUAUUCAGAUUUUCUAUACUCUCUUUUUGGCAAUUUCCAUAUUACUCAAAGAAUUUAAUGCUAACACAAGAAAACAUACGGCUAGGAAAUUAAAAAGACAAGAACAUAUAUAUAACUAUCUAACAUGAACAGUGGGA